GGGUUGUGAGGUUAAGCGACUAAGCGUACACGGUGGAUGCCCUGGCAGUCAGAGGCGAUGAAGGGCGUGCUAAUCUGCGAUAAGCGCCGGUAAGGUGAUAUGAACCGUUAUAACCGGCGAUACCCGAAUGGGGAAACCCAGUGUGAUUCGUCACACUAUCAUUAACUGAAUCCAUAGGUUAAUGAGGCGAACCGGGGGAACUGAAACAUCUAAGUACCCCGAGGAAAAGAAAUCAACCGAGAUUCCCCCAGUAGCGGCGAGCGAACGGGGAGGAGCCCAGAGCCUGAAUCAGCAUGUGUGUUAGUGGAA
RNAcentral lists this ribosomal RNA (309 nucleotides) under Salmonella enterica. Its description in RNAcentral is "partial 23S ribosomal RNA". It matches the Rfam family "Bacterial large subunit ribosomal RNA", at positions 1 to 305 of the family's 2925-position model. Lineage: Bacteria; Pseudomonadati; Pseudomonadota; Gammaproteobacteria; Enterobacterales; Enterobacteriaceae. The record is from RNAcentral.